AUACGGAGGGUGCGAGCGUUAAUCGGAAUUACUGGGCGUAAAGCGUGCGUAGGCGGUUGAUUAAGUCAGAUGUGAAAGCCCCGGGCUCAACCUGGGAACUGCAUUUGAAACUGGUCAACUGGAGUAUGAUAGAGGGGGGUAGAAUUUCUGGUGUAGCGGUGAAAUGCGUAGAUAUCAGAAGGAAUACCGAUGGCGAAGGCAGCCCCCUGGACCAAUACUGACGCUGAGGUACGAAAGCGUGGGGAGCAAACAGGAUUAGAAACCCGAGUAGUCC
Molecule: ribosomal RNA, 274 nt
Filed under: uncultured bacterium
Lineage: Bacteria
Description: partial 16S ribosomal RNA
Rfam family: Bacterial small subunit ribosomal RNA
Source: RNAcentral